CCAUGCAAUUAAUUUUUUCUUUUUUUUAUUUCUGCAUUGUAAGCAAAAGAACUGUUAAAUGAACUUCUGCUUAUAGCUAUAUUUAGAUGGGCUACCUCGCUUUUAAAAAGUGUUUUUUUUUUUUUUUUUUUUUUUUUUGCUUCUCAAUACAAAAAGUCUCGCUUCCUGGGGCCAGACAGCUGUUCUGUGUUGUUCAGAGGGCUACAACUGUGAGUUCCAUUCACGCACUCUUAGGUCACAAUGACGUGGAUAAAUGGACCAUUUUAGAACAUAUUAGGAUUGAGAAAUAAUUGGUUCCCCCAAUCAACCUGGGUUGAAGAGCCACUAUUUCCUGCUGAGUAGGAAUUCACCUUAGCACACAGUUUACUCAAGGAAACACACAUGUGCCGCUGACCCUUAGAACUCACUGUCUUCUGCUUCUUCCAUAUCUUGUUCAAGACUAUCCCGUGAAAAGGUGUGUGUGUGUGUGUGUGUGUGUGGUGGGACAGCUGGUCAGAGUCGAGUUCCAGAACUUCCUCUGGUCCUUGCUUCAUUGAGAAUCUCGGGUUCUAGCAUGGGAAGUUAGGGGAAGGAGCUCAGACUUCUGGGGGGCUUGCCUCGCCUGUCAGGUAUCCCUCCCCAUGGACCUGUUUCACAGAGUCCCAGGCUUGGAGAUGUGUAACCUGUCCAGCCACCUAUCAUUGCUGAAGGGCAGAGGUGGUGACAUUAGUACAGAUACCUGGGAAGUCUCUGGGAAUCCUUUAGUUAUGCCCAGACAUUCCCUGCUGCAGGGCCUUCUAACUCAGUUAGGGUGGAAAGAACACUGGCCUGGAGUCCUCCUUUGCUUUUUCACUCUGUAUCCUGGGCGAAUCACUUGUCCUAAUACCUGUUUUCUGCUUGACCCAAGGGGCCAUGGUUCAUGUCCAGUUGGCUAGGGAGCUCUUUGCUUAAAUAAUGGUAGACCCAUGUGGAGGGUACUCCUCAGGGUUCUCCGAUCUCCUUAUCUUCCUCCUUCAUUAUGUAUACAAUAUUCUUUCUGUGUGUAUGCCUGAAGGCCAGAAGAGGGCACCAGACCUCAUUAUAGAUGGUUGUGAGCCACCAUGUGGUUGCUGGGAAUUGAACUCAGGACCUUUGGAAGAGCAGGCAAUGCUUUUAACCACUGAGCCAUCUCUCCAGCCCUAUCUUCCUCCUUCAGUUUGGAGACUCUCUGUUGGCACAGGGUUCCAAGUCUGCCCCAUUGGAGAGGGUUACUACAGCAGAGCUAGUGGGCCAGUCUUGCCUGAUGUGGUGCCUGGUGGACCAGGAUCAAGGGCCCUGGCCUCUCCUGCCAGCACUCUGGGAAGUGUCAGUGCAGAAGCUUACUAACUGUGGAGGGAAGAAGAAUCUUCCAGAAGUUGAAAUGGAGUUGACUCAAGAGCUGCCGCUCCUGUGUAUUAUAGGCUGAGCUCUACCAACUACCGGAGCAGAGCAAGGGGUCAGGCAGGCCUCCAUUCCUUUCACUUUCUCCUUCCCCUUUGACUCCUGGGUUCGCUGGAAUAUUUGUUUCUGCACGCAGAAGCAACCCGCGCUCUGCCUGCAUGUUUUUGCUGUUGACACAGUGCUGUUGACCAGAUAAGCCAGGGGACCUGAAUCCCAGAAGGCAGCAGCUGUCCUUGGGACUGGCACUGGACAGCUCUGAUUCAGGGCUAGAGGCUGGAACACCAGGAAGCAGAGGUCUGGGAGUCCAACUCCGGGGGAGAGGCGAUUCUCAAUGGUCCUCAGUAACCUCAGGUGAGCGCCGUGGUGCCAAGUCUGUCUUUAGCCAGGGAGGGACCAUGCCGAGCGUGUCUCUCUCAAGUCUGGGAGGACAACUGCUCCACUGAGAAGCCUUCAGCACACACUGGGAAAAGCCCCAAAGCCACAGCUCCAUCUGAGACAUAAAUGCCAAGAAUUGCACGGCAGGAGGGUUGAACUCGGGUUUCAGGACAAGGGAAGUGCCCAUGAGGGGGAAGUGAGAGCGGAUGCCUGGGGAGAGGUGGCAUCGACUCAGCCUGUGAGCUGUCUGGAUCUGUUAAUUCAGAACGGCAUAACCGGUAAACAUCGAUCUGUGCAUUCCUUGGGAACAAAUGUCCUGAGUCAGUCCCGAACCUAGGGAAGUUGAAUUUAAAUAAAUUUUCCCCUGGGAGAUCAGACAGAGGCAGUGGGAGGGGGGUGUGGAAGGCUAUGUCUCCUCUACUGCCCUUGUUCCAAAAUAUCCCCUAUUUCUAAAUGUCAGCUGCCAAUGAAAGUUUUGUAAAGCACGGCUUAAAAA
Long non-coding RNA from Myodes glareolus (Bank vole), 2269 nucleotides. RefSeq lists it as uncharacterized. NCBI's taxonomy places the organism in Eukaryota, Metazoa, Chordata, Mammalia, Rodentia, Cricetidae. The record is from RefSeq and is a predicted model, not a curated record.